AACGAACGCUGGCGGCAGGCCUAACACAUGCAAGUCGAACGCUGCAGCAAUGCAGAGUGGCAGACGGGUGAGUAACGCGUGGGAACCUUCCCAAUGGUACGGAAUAGCCCAGGGAAACUUGGGGUAAUACCGUAUAAGCCCCAUGGGGGAAAGAUUUAUCGCCAUUGGAUGGGCCCGCGUCGGAUUAGCUAGUUGGUGAGGUAACGGCUCACCAAGGCGACGAUCCGUAGCUGGUUUGAGAGAAUGACCAGCCACACUGGGACUGAGACACGGCCCAGACUCCUACGGGAGGCAGCAGUGGGGAAUCUUGGACAAUGGGCGAAAGCCUGAUCCAGCAAUGCCGCGUGAGUGAUGAAGGCCUUAGGGUUGUAAAGCUCUUUUACCCGGGAUGAUAAUGACAGUACCGGGAGAAUAAGCUCCGGCUAACUCCGUGCCAGCCGCCGCGGUAA
Molecule: ribosomal RNA, 449 nt
Filed under: uncultured bacterium
Lineage: Bacteria
Description: partial 16S ribosomal RNA
Rfam family: Bacterial small subunit ribosomal RNA
Source: RNAcentral